Long non-coding RNA from Melitaea cinxia (Glanville fritillary), 443 nucleotides. RefSeq lists it as uncharacterized. The transcript is spliced from 3 exons. Lineage: Eukaryota; Metazoa; Arthropoda; Insecta; Lepidoptera; Nymphalidae. The record is from RefSeq and is a predicted model, not a curated record.
UGGUAAAAAAAAAUAUUGGUAAGGGCGGCAAAUUUUCAGUAAGCCCACUUUUCAAUUUCUAGUUCGGUCUCGAUUUGGAUAUUAUUUAAACUGUCAUAAUACUUAUUCUGCCGGUCAUGUGUCCGUAUCGAUUGUGACGAUGCGGUUAUCUUCAACCGUCGAUCUGGAAUGGUGGCAGCGGCUCGAACGAGGCUGCUACAUCCGUUCUCUAAGGUCUUUGGGGACCACGCCCUGUUAAAACGUCGAUGCCUACACUAUUAUACGCGCUACUGCGCAAUCGAGGCGACUCAUUUAGAUCUAUUUCACGAGGCUUGAACGUUAUAGCUAAAUACGUCUAAGGACUUUUUUGCAAUGAUCUCUAUAUGUUAUCGUAUUAAAAAAAACGUGUCGUGAGCUAAUAGAGUAUCCAACCUUAUACAGAUUAAAAAAAUGAUGACUCAAAA